Molecule: long non-coding RNA, 21214 nt
Filed under: Theobroma cacao (cacao)
Lineage: Eukaryota; Viridiplantae; Streptophyta; Magnoliopsida; Malvales; Malvaceae
Description: long non-coding RNA (TCAC_LNC004450)
Source: RNAcentral
AUCGGUUUGUCUAUACACAACAAAAGAGUACUCGACUUCCAGUGGAGAGACUUGGACGAAUGUACAGCUACUGAAUGCUGAGACACCUACCAAUGGUUGAAUAUUCGAAGACACUUCAACCUAGUUACCAGUUGCCUCGUGAUCUGAAAACAUGAAGUUGAAAAUGCUGUGUAUAAACCCAGUGAGUGAACAAGAAGGGAACAAGCACACCAUAAUGAAUGUUUAACGAAAUCAUGAUGCAUUCAUUUUUCAAAACAAUGCAAUUUGUUUUAGUUCUUAUUAAAGCCCCUCAUGUAAACCCCACAUGAGUUAAUCAUUUUAUGAAAAGGGUCCAUGAUCAAAAAAGGAUUUGGAGAGUGAAAACUUUAAUAGCAUUCAUGCGAAUCAGGUCAAAUAAAUGACGAGUCCUCGCUGCAGCAAAAAGUCAUUCUCGCUGCAGAUUUAAAUUAUCAACUAACCGGGGGUUUCUUAACUGGCCAAGGGUUUCUCACCAAACUUCCUCAUUUUAAACUUAAGUAAUUUAUUCCUUAAUGUUGGAAGUCCAUGCUCAACUAUGGUACCAAAGAAAUGGAAAAUAGAGUAGCAACCGAACCAAAUGAGGACAAAAACAGAAAGUUUUUCACUGCAGCGAGAUUGAAUCUCGCUGCAGCAAAAUUUUUGGUCUCAAAACAGAAAGUUUCUUGCUGCAGCGAGAAUGAAUCUCGCUGCAGCGAAAUUUCGACCAGCACCACCCUUCCAAACCUAAGAGUUUCUCACUACAACAAGAUUGAAUCUCGCUGCAGCGAGAAACAAGGUACCAACAAAAAAAUUCCAUUCCCCUCAAGAAAAAGCCAUCUUGUUAUGUUAACAAAAACAACAUGAAACACAUAAAUUCCCAAAAUUCAACCAGUCAAAUUCUCACAUUUUGCAUUACAACCAUAUACCAUAUAUGUAUAUAUAUAUAUAUAUAUCAAUCAUCAUGCACACCCUCCCAUCAUCAUCAGCUCAUAUGCAUUGGCUUAUGUGCACUCCCAUUCGCACAUAGCCGGGUCAGCAUCGACUUAUGCGCACUCCCACUCACACAUAGUUGGGUCAAUAUCAUUACACAACAUUAUUUAUAUAUAUAUAUAUAUAUAUAUAUNCACAACAUUAUUAUUAUAUAUAUAUAUAUAUAUAUAUAUUAACAUAAUGUAGAAAUACAACAAUCCAUAAUAGCCACAUGUCACACAUAGAGACAAUUUAUCAAAGGUUUGUUCCCAAGGCACCCAUUUUGAGAAAGAUUGAAUAAAUCAUUCACAUUCCCAAAACUAUUUUUGAAAUGCAAGUUCACUCACCGAUAUCUUGUUGAACUUUUUGUCAACUCUACUUCUCUAAUUGUCCAAAUGGGGUGAUGGGGCUUUGUUGGAACCUAUUAUCAAAUUAGCAUCACCAUUAAUUCAAGCCACACACUUAUAAACUCUAAAAGCUUUCUCUUAGCUAGCUUUCAAAUUGCCAUUUAAGUGUGUAUCUAAGUUCACUAUCUUAAUCACUCUAAAGUGAAUGAACAACCCCAACUACCAAAUCAGCCCCAAGUCUAAACACUAAUCAUUUUCAACAUUAAAACUCAAUUCUAGUGUACUACUCACCUUGGUAGCUUGUAUUUGAAAUUCUUCCCAAAAACUUUCAAGCUAUUAUUAAAGCUUCCUCUUUCUCUCUCUAAAACACCUAACUAGUGAGAGGGAGUAUGGAAACAAGAUUUUUCAAGGGUUUUAAAGUGAGAGAGUGGAAGAGCACAAGGGUUUAUGAAAGGGUGCCCCAAAAGCUUGAUAAGUGGAGCUAUUUUGAAGAAGGUUGUGAAGCUUUCUUAUCAAGCUUUCAUGGAGGUUGGGAAGCAACAUGAAAGAGAAGAAGAAGAAGAAAAGCUACUAGAGAAUGUAGAAGCUACUGAAAGAAAGAGAUAUUUAUAGCUCAAGCUUAUCCACUCCACUUAAAUUACCAAAGUGCCCCUCCACAAAAUAGCUUAUUCUCCUCCAAACUUUUAUGAAAUCUUUUGCUCUUUUGACACUGGGACAAGGUCCAUAAUGGUCUAGAAAUGCUCAAGUUCAUGAAAACUUAAAAAUUCUAACCCAAGGUGAAAAAUGACAAUUUUGCCCUUAUCAUGAAAAUCAUCAAAAUUUUUGUUUCCUUGUCAUUUUACCCAUAUUUUCAUCAUCCAUUUAUGCCUUAGGCCUACUUAGGCCAUAAUAUUGUUUAAAAUCUUACUUUUAUGGGCAUACUAAGGAAAUGACGAAAUUACCCUUGAUUAGGAAUAUUGCAUGUACUUCUAUUUACGAGUCUAUAGAGGUCAAGGUCUCACAAAAAUGAUGUUCCAAACAUGGUUGAAAUGAAAUUCUAAAUUGUUCUCACACAAAUCCUUGUUUUGAGAUCAUUAUGCCUUGGAACAUUGCAUGUUCUUCACCUUUUUCUAGCUUUUCAAUAUGUAAGAAUCAAGCAUAAUUGACUCCUUAGCAUAGCUAGUCGACUAUUGUAGAAAAAAAUGCAAACAAUGCUGCUGGAAUGAUAAAAAGUGAACCCAAGGGAUAUGUAGUCGACUUUUGAGUGCUCUAAAGCCAAAAUGGACAAGUUUUGAGUUCCAAAAUGUCUUCUUACUUUACUUUUUGUCCAUUGCAAUAUUUUCUUCCCUAAAUUUUCUUUUCAAAGAUGAUUCUUGACUCUUAAAAACAUGCAUUAUUAAUACUCUUGUAAUCAUUUGGUGCAAGUUCAUGUUCUUGAAAUUGAAAAACUUGCUGAAAAAUGGGAAAUCCUUUUUGAUUACUUAAAUCUAUUUAUUCCCAAGCAUGAAACUCAUAUUGAUUCCAUAAAUCCUCAUGUGCUUACAUAAAUAAUAUCAGUUCUUGAGAAUAAAGUGUUCAUGUGCUUAUGUUGAAAAAUCUUCUCAAUGAAUCAUAAGAUCAAUUCUUGAAAUAUGCUUUAUGAUUAAACUUAAAUGAUUGUUUCAAGAUUGAUUAUUUGAUUUUACUUUUGAAAUUGAUCAUGAUGAACUUGUUGAACUUCAUGAAAAUAAAUUUUGGUCCAACUAUUAUAUUGGUCAAGACACAUACUUAUAUGAUUUUUCUUUAUGCUUGACCUUAAGGUUUGAAGUCUAAAACCUGACUUGAGCUAUGCAUUUGAAUAUGAAUUUAAUUGUCAAGUUUGAUCAUGGCAUAUAUUGUGAGUUGACAUAGUUGAAAUUUAUUUUGAAUAUGCAUUUAAAUGUUAACUAUGUCUUCAUUGAGCCUUAACGUUUACAUGAUCUAAAGAUUUUGUGUGCAUCCAACUUUAGCUUAUAGGUCACCAUAAACAACUUGACAUGUCAAAUAAAAUAUGGCCUAUAGUGUGAGACCUUGAUCUUUAUAGACUUGUAGCUAGAAGUAGACAUGAUAUCACGGACUAGGGGUAAUUUCAUCAUUUCUUUAGUGAGCCCCUAGAAGUAGGCUUUCAGACAUUAUUAAGGUCUAAGCAGGCCUAAGGAAUAAAUGAAUGAGGCUAAAAUAAAUGAAAAAGAUAUAAAUACUGAUAAUUUCCAUGAUGGGGGUAAAAUUAUCAUUUUGCACCUCGAGCCUAAAUUUUUAAGUUUUCGUGAAUUCGAGUACUUUUGGACUAUUAUGGACUUUGUCUCAAUGUUAAAAGAGUAAAAAGAGUACGUAAAGGAAAAGAGGAAGACAAGUGGCCUUGUUAAGGGCAUUAUUGUAAAUUGUAUGAAAAUUGGAUAAACUUUAACUAUAAAUAUCUAAUCUCCAGCAACUUUUCUUCAAUUUUCCAGCAACUUCUCUUCUUCUUCUUCUUCUUCCUCCUAUCCUCCUCUCCAUUCCAUGUUUCUUUGCACCUUUCAUGGAAAUAUCCUUUGAAAUUGUGAGACCUUGAUCUUUAUAGACUCGUAGCUAGAAGUAGACGCGAUUUCACUAACUAAGGGUAAUUUCAUCAUUUUCUUAGUGAGCCCCUAGAUGUAGGCUUUCAAACAAUAUUAAGGCCUAAGUAGGCUUAAGGCAUAAAUGAAUGAUGAAAAUAGGGGUAAAAUGACGAAGAAAAUAAAAAUAAUGAUGAUUUCCAAGGUAGGGGCAAAAUGGUCAUUUUUCAUCUCAAGUCAAAAUUUUAAGGUUUCAUGAACUUGAGUAUUUCUAAACUAUUAUGGACCUUAUCCCAGUGUCAAAAGAGUAAAAAGAUUGCACCAAGGAUUAGAGGAGAACAAGCCAACUUGUUAAAGGCAUUUUCAUAAUUUAAGUAAAGACUGGAUAAGCCUUAGCUAUAAAUAUCAUUUUUCUAGCAGCUUCUUCUUCUUCUUCCUCCCAUCUCACAUUUCUUUCAUCCUCCAUGGAAGCUUGUUUUGAAACCUCCAUAACUUCUCUCAAGUUAGCUCCAAUUUUCAUGCUUUUGUGCACCUUUUCAUAGAACCUUUUAUUCUCUUUCACUCUCUCACUUGAAAACCCUUGAAAAGUCUUACUUCCAUAAUUCCUCUCACUAGCUAGGUGUUUUAAAGAGAGAAAGAGGGAGUUUUUAUAAUAGCUUGUAAAUUUUUGGAAAGAAAUUCAAAUACAAAGCUACCAAGGUGAGUAGUGAAUUAAAGUUGAUUUUCAAGUGUUGAGAAUGGCUAGUGAUUAGACUUAUGAGUGUUUUGUAGUUUAGGUUGUUUUUUCAUUUUAGAGGAUUAGGAUAGUGAAAAUAGAGAGCAACUUAAUGGCAAUUGGAAGCUAGUUAGGAGAUAGCUUUUAGAAUUUAGAGUUAUGUGAAUUACGUUAAUUGUGAUGCUAAUGUGAUGAUAGGUUCCAACGAAGCCCCACCGCCCCAUUUGGACCAUUAGAGGAAGUUGGAGUUGGGUAAAGAUUUAACAAAUAUCGGUGAGUGAACGUGCAUUAAAUGUUUUAGGAUUAAGGCAUAUGUGUUUGAUGAAAUCCAUUGAAAUAUUUUAUCUAUUUUUCUCUAAAAUAUGCAUGGGAACAAGCUUUUAAUGAAACGUUUUGCGUUGUGGAAUGCAACUGUGAUGAAGCCACGUGCCUUGUGUUAUGUUGAUAUCUAUAUAUAUAUAUAUAUAUAUAUAUAUAUAUAUAUAUAUAUAUAUAUAUNNNNNNNNNNNNNNNNNNNNNNNNNNNNNNNNNNNNNNNNNNNNNNNNNNNNNNNNNNNNNNNNNNNNNNNNNNNNNNNNNNNNNNNNNNNNNNNNNNNNNNNNNNNNNNNNNNNNNNNNNNNNNNNNNNNNNNNNNNNNNNNNNNNNNNNNNNNNNNNNNNNNNNNNNNNNNNNNNNNNNNNNNNNNNNNNNNNNNNNNNNNNNNNNNNNNNNNNNNNNNNNNNNNNNNNNNNNNNNNNNNNNNNNNNNNNNNNNNNNNNNNNNNNNNNNNNNNNNNNNNNNGUCACUCCGCUGAUGGUCAAGAGUUUUAUGCUUGUGUAUACGUAUAAGUAAUGUAGACCAUUAAGAUUAAUGUUAAAAAUCAAAGAUGUAUAUUUGAUUACUGAUGCCAUUAUAGGUUGGCAAACGGGUGACAUUAUUUUAACAUAAUACAAAUGUGAAUAUUGGGUUGCUAUAAAAUGUUACUAAAAUAUUUAUAGUUGAGAAUUAUAAUAUGUGGUUUUAGAAUGAUGGCCGGGAAUGAUGAUUAGGAUUGCAUAGAAAGGCUUGCUUGGGCUUAGUGGGCUAUGCUCAUUAGGCCCAUGUGCCGGUCAUGGCCUUGGAUUUAGGUUGUGACACCUUUUUCAAGAAUAAGGUAUGUUUUACCAACCCACUCUAUUUAAAUUCAAGGACAAAUUUUCUUUAAGGAAGGGAGACUGUAACACCUCGUACCCUUGUAUAGAAGCCAAUAAGACCUUAUCGAUGAGACAAAGUGUGAGACCUCAACCUCUAUAGGCCCGCAACUAGGUGUAAACGAGAUAACACAGGUUAGGGGUAAUUUCAUCAUUUCUCAUGAUGAGCCCCUAGAAGUAGGCUUGCAUACAUUAUUAACGUCUAAGUAGUUCUAAGGAAUAAAUGAAUGAGGGUAAAAUAAAUGAAGAAGAUAUAAAUACUAAUAAUUUUCAUGGUAGGGGUAAAAUGGUCAUUUUACACCUUGAGCUUAAAUUUUAAGUUUUCAUGAACUCGAGUACUUUUGGACUAUUAUGGACUUUGUCUCAGUGUUAAAGGAGUAAAAAAAGUGCAUAAAGGAAAGGAGGAAGACUAAUGUCCUUGUUAAGGGCAUUAUUGUAAAUUAUAUGAAAAUUGGAUAAACUUUAACUAUAAAUAUCUAAUCUCUAGGAGCUUCUCUUCUUCUUCCUCCUAUCCUCCUCUCCAUUACAUGUUUCUUUGCACCUUUCAUGGAAGUAUCCUUUGAAACCUUUAAAACUUUCCCAAAUUAGCUUUAUUUCUCAUGUUUUUCUACACCCUUUCAUAGGGUUUUCCAUGCUCUUCCACUUUUACACCUCAACAGCCUUCAAAAGUCUUUCUUAAGUAUAUUCACUCACUAGUUGGAUGUGUAGAGAGAGAGGGAGUGAUUUCCCUUAUUAGCUUGGAAAAAUUUUGAAAAGAAAUUCAAUUCCAAAUCCACCAAGGUGAGUGAACUUGCAUUUAAAAUAUUUUGAGAAAUGUAUUGGUAUUUGGAUGAAGCAUGUGAAUGAUUUUUAUUUGAUUUUCCCUUAAAGAUUAUGCAUGGGAACAAGCCUUUAUUGAAACGUUUUAUGUGGUGAGUGUGUAAUAUGAUGAAUCCUUGUGCUCCUAUAGGAUGCUUAUAUAUAUAUAUGUUAUGUAUCGAUAGUUAAUAUUGUGUAAUAAACAUAACCGUGCGUGUGCGCGAUGUGGGGGAUGCACAUGCCGGUGAUGACGAGUGCAGGAGUGUGGAUGAUGAUAUUGCCUCUACGUGAUGUGGGGGUUGCACAUAGAGGUAUUAGCUGUGCACGAUGUGGGGGAUGCACACGAUGACUCCAGCUAUGUGCGCGAUGUGGGGCUUGCAUAUGAGCUAGGUGAGGCGGUGGUGGUAUUAGUGGUUAUAUAUGUAUAUAUAUAUAUAUAUAUACAUUUAUGCAAGAGAAAGUUCAUGAAUAUGGAAUAUAGUUGUAAUGUAUGUGAAAUUUUGCAUGUUGAACCUUAGAAAUUGCUAAGUGUUUUCCAGUUGAUUUUGUCAUUGCAAAAGAAUGGCCUUUUCUUGAUAUAAUGAGAACUUUCUUCUUGGUGUUCUGUUUCUCGCUACAGCAAGAAACUCUCGGGUUGAGAGGCUGGUUGCAAUCCUGUAACUUGCUGCAGCGAGAUGUCUACAGGUGGUUUUGCGCUACAACGAGAAACAUUUGAUCGUGCUUGCUAGCUUGUUUGGUUUCUGCCGUAUUUGCCACUUCUUUAACAUCAUGAUUGAUCAUGGACUUCCAACAUCAAGGAAUUGAUUAAUUAAGUUUGAAAUGAGGGAUUUUAGUGAGAAACCCUCGGCCAGCUAAUGCUUUGAGCCCAAAUUUCGCUGCAGCGAAAAUUCAUUCGCGCUGCAAUUAUCAGUCAUUUCGCUCGACUUGCUUGAAUGCUACUAAAGUUUUCACUCUUCAAAUUCUUUGUUGUGCAUAUAUCCUUCAUCAUCAAGUGAUUAAUCAAUUAAGGGUUUUAAUGAGGGGUUUUAAUAAGAACUAAACUAAACUGCAUUGUUUUUGAAAAUAAGUGCAUCAUGAUUUCUUUAAACUUUUCGUAUCACUUGCUUGUUCCCUUCCUUUGUUCACUCACUGGGUUUAUGUCACGACCUAAAUUCUGGGCCAUGACCGGCGCAUGGGCCCAAUAGACGUAGUCCACUAAGCCCAAGCAAGCCUAUUUAUAUGACUUGUUCACCAUUCCAUCAAAAGUUGCUAAAGUCACAUUUCAUAAUUUUGAAUCAAAAUAAUGCUAAUCAUUGCCCACUCAUAGUGGCAUUCCCAUCAAAAUAUACAUAUGUUGUCUACAACAUAUAUAUUAAUAAUUUACAUUGGUUUGUCUAUACACAACAAAAGGAGACUCGAUUUCCAACAGAGAGACCCGAGUGAUGUACGGCUACUAAAUGCCAAGAUACCUACAAAGAAAACAAAUCUACAAAGGCACCUCGACCUAGUUACCGACUGCCUCUUGAUCUGAAAACAUGAAGUUGAAAACGGUGAGUAUAAACUAGUGAAUGAACAAGAAAGGGAACAAGCAAACAAUAAGGAAUGUUUAACGAAAUCAUGAUGCAUUCAUUUUUCAAAACAAUGCAAUUUAUUUUAGUUUUUAUGAAAACCCCUCAUGUAAACCCCACAUGAGUAAAUCACCUUAUGAAAAGGGUCUAUGCUCAACAAAGGAUUUGGAGAGUGAAAACUUUAAUAGCAUUCAUGCGAAUCAAGUCAAAUAAACGACGGUCGUAGCUGCAACGAGAAUGCCUUUCCACUGCAGUGAAGUUAGGAUUCAAGUUAUUAGCCAAACGAGGGUUUCUUAACUGGCCGAGGGUUUCCCACCAAACCUCCUCAUUUCAAACUUAACUAAUUAAUUCAUUAAUGUUAGAAGUCCAUGCUCAACUAUGGUACCAUAGAAGUGGAAAAUAGGACAGCAAUCGAACAAAAUAAGGAACAAAACAGAAAGUUUUGUGCUAUAGUGAGAAUGAAUCUCGCUGCAGCAAAAUUUAUGCCAUAAAAUAGAAUUUGCAAUUAUCGUCUUGACUCAACUAAAUGAACAAGGUUAAUAACAACACAAGGCCAAUUGUGUGGCACACUAAAAACCUAUAAAGAUGAAUUAGGGAUUGAAUGGAAAGUAUGUAUUUAUAUAUCUUUAAGAAUAAGUGCAUGUCUAUAGGACGAUAUGCUCGGGAUGUUAAGGAGCAAAUAAGAGAAUAAGUGUUUUAGGAUUACACAAACAUCUUUGAGAAAGAAUUACCAAUCAUACACGACAAGUAUAAAAUGUGGGAUUUUUGAAACUUGCUGAGGAGCCUAACGGCCAAGUCACGGGUUAAGUGAUCACAUGCGGUGAGACGAAGUUUAAGAUAGAUAUCCCUAAGGAAAUACUCAAGAGAAGUUUUGUCAGGGAUCUAGUGAAAGCAAGCAUUAAGUUAUGUGGUUAUAAAGAGGAAGCCGUAAGCUUAAAGUGAUAUUCGUAUUGACAUUGAAAAGUACUUGAGGAGGACCUUGUUUCAAGUCUUGUAGUUUCAAGUACAAAUUACAAAUUGGUCCAGGGAGAAUGAUGUCACAAUAGUAUGGAAGAAUAGAACAAAGGAUGAUUGAAGAUAAUUUGGAUAAUGAAGUUCGAUAAUGAAAAAACUUCCUAGUGUAGUAUGGAAAUUGGAACUCGAAAAUGCUUGAGGCAUGCACGAUUCGAAUGAGUCUAAGUUUUAAGUGACUCAUUAAAGUCGAAAUGCAAUAAAGAUAUAAUAUAUAUAUAUAUAUGGUAGAGUUAUGAAGAAUAAUUGAGAAAUAAUGAUGCCUUUUAGGGAUUAUGGUAUUGCAUAAGAUACAAUGAUCCAAUAAAGAUAAACCUUUGAAAUAUCAAUGAGAUUAUAAAGCGUAUAAGAAUACCGGAUUGUAAUUUAAUGCAAAUGACAUUUAGCAAGUGAGAUGUGAUUAAUGACAUCAUGAUGCAAGGAUAUAUACAGUACGAUGAAACUCAAGCAUAUAAUUGGAAAUGACAUAAACGAUAUGAAGUUAUGCAUAGGCAUAACAAGAAUGUUGACAUGCACUAUGAGGAUUAUUAUAUUGAAUCUUGGAUAGGGAUGGGGAUGAAUAAAGGAAAAUGUAAUCCAAGGCACGUGAACACAUGGAUCCCUAUGCGUAACAAGGAAUGUUGACAUUUGGAAAUGCAUGUACAUACGUAUAUGUGAAAUUGAUGACUUGACCAACCGAGGUGAAGAAUUUUUCUCAGUAAUUUGAGAUUUGUACUUUAUGUAUUUGAUGAGUUGUAUAAAUGGUACUUUAUGUAUUUGAUGACGAUCAAGCUUGGGUUAGCUUGGUUGUUGUGGUAGGUUCUAACUAAGCCUUAGAAAAGUUAGUUUUGGGUUUUAGUUGAUCCCGUGAAAAACCAUUGUUAAAGGUUGUGGCUGAGCCUGUGAAAAUCCAUUUUAGGUUUUGGUUGAUCUUGUGAAAAACUAUCAUUAAAGGUUGUGGCUAAGCUUGUGAAAAGCCAUUGUAAAAGCUUGGUGGAAGCUUGGGAAUUCCACUUAUUUUAGUAAAUUGGUUUAAAAAUCCUUGAUUGAGAGAUUAAGUGGACAAAACCACUGUAAAUCAUCGUGUUUUGUCUACGUUCUUUUAUUUUCUUCUUACUCUUAGCACUUAAAUCAUUCCUUCAACAAGCUUUAAACUUCCAUUUUCAAAUUCUUUAUCAACAUUUUACUUGGAAAGAAUUUUAGUGUCAUUCCGAAAAUGCUAUUCACCCCCCUCUAACACGUUCUUUAGGACCAACAAUUUUUUGUUUGCAUAUCAAUGAUAGCAAUUAGCUCCCGAGUCAUGAAGGUAUGGUCCGUUCUUCUUCCUUUGAUAGUUAUUUAGUAACCCACUUAAUGCCUAGAGAGUCGGGUCAUGUUCCGUUGAUGAGUGGGUCUUUACUUUAUGUUUAUGCUUAUGGAUAUUAAGCAUGUUUAUGAUGAAGUAGCCAAUGUUUGGCAUUUACUUUAUGAAUGUUAUGGAUAAAUGUGCAAAGGUGGCUCAAAAGCCUACAUGGACACUCGAGGGUGUUGAUAAAUGAUUAUGGCAUGGUGUAUGAGUUUUUAACUUUAACUAUGUUAUUAAAUGAAUGAACUUAUACUGUUUAUGUUGAUAAGUUCCAUAAUUGUGUAAUAUUACUUAUGGAUGAAUGCAUGUGCUUGAUACUAUAUGGCUUUAUGGAUUAUGAUUAUGUUUAAUGGGCCAAGUUAUGAAUGAAUGAAUGUACGGAAGCUUGUUUGGGUCUAGUGAGCUGUACCCGUCAAGGUUCCUGCACUAGUCAUGUCACACCACGAGACGAGAUGUGACAAUUGGGUAGGACAACUUGCCAAUGGUAUGAUUAGUUACAUAGAGGCAAGGGGCUUGGUGUUACACUAAUUACUUGGCAAGAGUUUAGCAUAGCCUUUCUAGAGUGUUUUCUAUAAGACAGUGUGAAUGAGGCUAAAGCCUGAGAGUUUGAGAUACUGGUAUAGACUCUAGGGAUGACAAUUCCAGAAUACAACAUAUGGUUUACUGAAUUGUCUCAAUAUGCACCUUACUUGGUCGUUACAGAGGAGAUAAGUGUUAUGAGGUAAUGGAUUGGUGCGACCUCUAUAUAGGGUCAUAGUGCCCCAUGAGUUUACUAACUACUCCAAGGCAGUGAAUUGUGGUCAAAGACUGGAGAUGAAGGAUAUGGAAACUUAAAGAGGUCAGGAUAAGCCCAAGAAGGCUAAGAUCAAAGGCUAGCAUAAAGGUUCACAAACAUCCCAAUAGGGGAGUGGUUCAAUUAGUAACUCUAAGAAAGGUAAAAAGGUUGCCAAACCACCUAAACAACAGACUAUUGGGCAAUCUCAUCUAGAUAGAUCACCAUGUUCUUCGUGUGGUAGGAGGCACCGAAGGCAAUAUCUCUAAAGAUCCACUUCAUGUUAUUCAUGUGGGUUGACUAGUUAUUUUACUAGUGAGUGUCCUAAUGGUUGAAAGUUUAAAAGAUCGACUUAAGGACGGCCAUAGCUAACUUUACCUGCCCCACUCAUUGUGGCGCAACCUACUAAAGAGACUAGAGGAGCUAACGAUAAAUGUGCUAGUAGCUCAUCACAGGGCAUAAGGUUUAGAGCCCAAGGUAUAGCCAAUCAAGGACAAGCUUUGACUACACAAGAAGCACAAGCAUCCAAUGCAGUUCUUAUAGGUAUUUACCUAGUUGUUUCAUUUAUACACGUGUAUUGUAUGACCCUGGUGCUACACAUUCUUUCAUGUCCCCAUACUUUGCAUCUAGACUAGGUAUAAAGUGCUUCAAGAAAGAGCAAGAAUUGGUAGUUUCCACACCCUUGAUGAGGUGUUUGUUGCAAGGUAUGAGUAUAAAGUUUGCGUGGUCUGAGUUUGAUGUGAUUUUUGUGAUGGAUUGGUUAUCUACAAGCUAUGUUAGUGUGGAUUGUCACUACAAGAGAGUUAGGUUUGACUACCCUAUAAAGAGAUCUUUCUAUAUACAAAGAGAUCGCAGCAUGGUCUCAAGUAGCAUGAUAUUGGCUAUGAUUGCUAAUCACUUGAUGAGACAUGGGUGUCGAUGAUUUUUGGUCAAAGGGGUUAAACCCCCAAACAGAGAUAGUUAGUGUGGCAGAUGUGCUUCUUGUGAGCGAGUUCGCAAAUGUAUUUUCAGAGGAGCUACCCAAAUUACCUCCAAAUCAGAAGAUAGAGUUUUACAUAGACUUGGCGGAGGACACCAAUCUAAUUUUUAUACCACUAUACUAAAAUGGCACCAACUAAGCUCAAAGAGAUCAAAGAUCACUAGGAGGAUUUGCUAGACAAAAGCUUCAUUCACCCUAAUGUCUUACCAUGGGUUGCACCGAUUUUACUUAUGAAGAAAAAUGAUAGAUCAAUGAGACUUUAUCUCGAUUAUCAGCAGUUGAACAAAGUGACCAUAAAGAACAAGUAUACUCUUCCACAUAUAGAUGAUUUGUUUAAUCAGUUGCAAGGGGCCAAGUGUUUCUCUAAAAUCGACCUACAAUCGAGUUACCAUCAAUUGAGGAUUAGAAGUAGAGACAUACCUAAGACUGCUUUCUGUAUAAGGUAUGGUCAUUAUGAGUUUUUGGUUAUGUCCUUUAGAUUGAAUAAUGCCCUUGCAACUUUUAUGGAUAUGAUGAAUCAAGUGUUUAGACCAUACUUGGUUAAGUUUGCAGUCAUGUUCAUUGAUGAUAUAUUAGUUUACUCGAAGAGUCGAGAGGAACACAAGCAACACUUAAGGAAUGUGCUACAAAUUUUAAGGGAGCACCUGUAGUAUGCCAAGUUCUCCAAGUGCGAUUAAUGUUAGUUUCUUAGGCCACUUAAGAAUAGGGUGAUGGUGAAUCCAAAAAAGAUUGAGGCAAUGGAGAAAUGGCCAAGGCCUACAUCAGUGACUAUGAUAAUGAGUUUCAUAAGAUUGGCUAGACACUAUAUGAGAUUUGUCAAGGAUUUCUCUAAGAUCGCUACUCUUAUGAUUAAGUUGAUAUAAAGAGGUGUCAAGUUUAUAUAGGUAGGCACAUGUGAUGAGAGCUUUGGGAAGCUCAAGAAUUGUUUUACAAUAACUCCAAUGUUGAGUUUACCAUGUGGUACAAGGAGUUUUAUGGUUUAUUAUGACGCAUCACGAGUAAAACUUGGAUGUGUAUUGAUGCAACAUGACAAGGUGAAUGCAUACAUGUCGAGGCAACUUAAAAGGCAUGAGCAAAAUUACCCCAUACACGAUUCAAAAAUGGCUAUGAUAGUGUUUAGCUUAAAGAUUUAAAGGCAUUAUUUUUAUGGUGAAACUUGUGAGAUUUACAUGAAUCACGAAAGUCUCAAGUAAAUUUUUGAGCAAAGAGAUCUUAACCUCAAGCAACUUCGAUGGAUGGAGUUGUUGAAUGAUUAUGAUUGAACAAUAUUAUACCAUCACAGUAAAGCUAAUGUGGUGGCAAAUGCUUUAAGCUGGAAGUCUAUAGAGAGUUUAGCUCACAUCUUAGUUAAAAGGAGAUCAUCGGUGCAAUGUAUGCAAGAGUUGGGUGAUAUGGGCAUUCGAUUCAAGGUUAAUAAUUUAGAGGCAUUAUUAGCCUAUUUUAGAGUGAGAUUAAUGUUGAAGGAUCGCAUCAACGAAACCCAAGAUAAAGAUGAUUUAGUGGCAAAGGCUUUAGAGGAUCCUCAAGGGAGGAAGGGCAAAUGUUCACUAGAGGCACUGAUGGAUCCCUUAGACAUGGAUCUAAAGUAUAUGUGCUGCAUAUUAAUGAUUUGAGAUGAAAAAUAUUAAAUGAGGCCCAUGUGGCAGCAUAUGUUAUUCAUUCAGGCACCACCAAGAUGUACCAUGACUUGAAAGAAACAUACUAAUGCAAAGGCCCUAAGAGGGAUGUGGUCGAAUUUAUGGCCAAGUGUCUAGUAAGCUAGCUAGUUAAAUUAGAGCAUCAGAGGACUGCCAUAUUAUUACAGCAUUUACCUAUUCUUGAAUGGAAGUAAAAGCAUAUUUCUAUGAAUUUUGUGAUCGAACUACCCCAUACAAGUAAGGAGUAUGAUUCAAUUUAAGUGAUUGUGGAUAGGCUGAGUAAGUUCGUUCAUUUCUUUCUGGUGAGGACCACUUAUGGAGUGGCACAGUAUGUGAGGUUGUAUAUUGAUGAGGUAAUGCAAUUGCACAGAGUUCCAAUCAAUAUAAUGUCAAACAAAGGCACACAGUUUACUAGUCAGUUUUUGGUAGAUUUAAUAAUUUGUGUUUUCGUAUCUUAAUCAUGUCAACACGAUUAAGACUUAAAACACGACAAGUUAAACAUGAACGUAGUACAAAUAAUUAUUCGUGUUAGCAUCUGAAAUACGUAUAUGAAUAUGUUUAAUAACCGUGUAACACGACAAGACACAACUAACACAUUUAUUAAAUGUGUCAGAAUUUUUAUUACAAGAUGAUACGAUUAAUAAACAUGAUUAAAUGUGUCACUUAUACACAUUUUAACACGAUAACAUAAUUAAUCAAACGUGUUAACCAUGGACACGAUUACGAUACAAAAUAUGAUAAGGCUAAACCCAAACUUGUUUAACUUUGUGUCUUCUCAUGUCAUGUUACCAUGUCGUGCCUAAAAUUGCCAAGUCUAGAUUUAGGGGAAAGUUCAAGAAGUUUUAGGGACUAAGUUAAAUUUUAGUACUAUUUUCCACCCACAGAUAGAUAGACAGUCUGAUAAGACCAUUUAUGUCACAGCCCAAAUCCAGAGCCAUGAUCGGUGCAUGGGCUCAAUGGGCAUAGCCCACUAGGCCCAAGCAAGCCUCUUUAUGAGAUUCUGUUCCUCAUUCUAUCCAUCAUCUUUAAAACCAUGUGUUGUAAUUCUCAAUGGUGAAUGUUUUAGUAAUAUUUCAUAGCAACCGAUAUUUGUAUUAUCUCAGAGUACUAUCAUUCAUUGUCAUCUCAUAAGCGCAUCAUCAUCAAUCCAACAUAUACAGACUUCAUUUAUAACAUGACUCCUAGUAGUUUACAUUACAUAUAUGUGUACACAGAAAAAAGACUCUCAACUGUCAGCGGAGUGACUUUUAGUGAAGGUACCACUACUGAGAUGCCAUAGUACCUACCAAGAAGACGAGCAUAUGUGGACACUCAAUCUAGGUCCCAACUACCUCAGAAUCUGAAAACAUGAAGAUUUAAAAAUGUGAGUAUAAACCCAAUGAGUGAACAUAGGAAGGGAACAAGCAACGACAAGGAAUGUUUUAGAAAACAUGAUGCACUUACGAUAAACCGUGCAAUUUAGUCUCAUUUUUGGUUAAAACCCCUCAUUUCAAACUUUGAAUGUUUAAUCCCUUAAUGUUACAAGAUUCAUGAUGAACCAUAAAGUUGAAUAGAAUGAAAAUUUCAGCAAUGACCAAGCAAGACAAACAAACAGAAGGUUUUCGCACUGCAGUGAAAAGGCAUUCUUAGUUUGCAUAUGCUUUGGUUUUUCAAGAAUAUCUCACACUACAAAAGCCCAAUUGACAUGAUUUUUAAACCAUUAGAAAGAUAAGAGGCUGAGCUACAACUUUUAUGUUCACCACUUUGCCCAUUUUCUGAUUAGAAGGUGGUCAAAAUCUUUGUUAAAGUGAUAGUACUACACUAAAAUCUUGGAACCACCCGAGAGUUUCUUGCUGCAAUGAGAACCAGGCCAGUGUAACCCCCCCCCCCCAACCCAGGAGUUUCUCGCUGUAGCGAGAAUGUAGCAAGAAAUAGAGCAAUUUAGUUUAAAGGGGUAUUGUUAGAUCAAAAAGCUAUUUUCUUGCUAAAAUGAAAAGCAAUUUAGGAGCAAUUAACAAUGCCAACAUACAACACAAUCACAAUUAUUUUCAUAAACUUUCUAUAACAUAUAUAUAUACAUACAUCAUCAUGCAUACCAUCUCGCCACACUUAACUCAUGUGCACUUCCUACAUGCACAAUGCAUAUCAUCAUCAUCAUCAGCUCAUGUGCACUCCCACACCGCACAUAGUUAGGUCAUAUCAGCUCAUGUGCACUCCCACACACACGUAGCUAGGUCAUCAUUAUCACACAAAAGGAACAUCCAAUGCAUAAUAUACAUAUCAAUAUAAUGUGAUAAUGCAUGAACUAUUCAUAUUACACAUUUUACAAGAUAGAAACAUUUCAUCAAAGGCUUGUUCCCCACGUAUAUUUUUAAAGCAAAAACAAAUGAAACUUUCAAAUGAUUUAUUUAAACAUGUAGGCACUUCCCAAAACAUUUUGAAAUGCAAGUUCACUCACCGGUCUUUGUUGAUGCUUUGAUCAACUCUAACUUCAACCAAUGCUCCAUAUGGAGAUGUGGAAUCUCAUUGGAACCUACCACACCCAAUAGCAUCUCAAUCACCCAAAUUAGCAUUAAUAUAAUUCCAAAAGCUAUUUCCUAACUCAAGUUUAACUAGUUAUUCCUAACUAGCUUCCAAUCACCAUUAAGUGGCUAUUUAUUUCACUACUCUAGUCACCCUCAAAAUGAAUAAACAAUCUAAACAAUAAAACACUCACAGAUCCCAUUAUUAGCCAUUAUCAACAUCUUAAAAAAAUCAAUCUUAACUUAUUACUCACCUUGGAGCUUUUGUAGCUGAAAUCCUUUUCAAGAACUUUCGAAUUAUUGUAGAGAAUCUCUCUCUCUCUCUAUUUCUCUAUAACGUCCAGCUAAUGAAAGAAAGUAUUAAGCAAGGGCCCUUGAGCGUUCUUGAGGUGUAGAGGUGGAAGAGCAUGAAAAACCCUAUGAAAAAGUGGGCAAAACAUGAAAUUUUGAGCUUUCUAUGAGAAGUUAUGGAGGAUUCAAGGUUUCCUCCCAUAAAAAAUGAAGAAAACAUGAAAUAAAGAGAAAAGCUAGGAUGAAGAAGGAGAAGCUGCUAGAAGUUGCCGAAACUUAGAUAUUUAUGCUUCAAGUUAAUCCAAAUUUUCACUGAAUUUACCAAAAUGCCCUUAACAUGGUGGCUUUGUCUUCCUCCCAUCCUUUGUACAACCUUUUUACUCUUUUGACACUAAAACAAAGUCCAUAAUAGUCUAGAAAUACUCGAGUUCACAAAAAUGUAAAAAUUUAGACUCGAGAUGCAAAAUGACUAUUUUGCCCUUACCUUAAAAAUCAUCAUUAUAUCUAUUUCCUUCGUCAUUUUAUCCUCAUUUUCAUCAUUCAUUUAUUCCUUAGGCCUACUUAGGCCUUAAUAAUAUUAGAAAACCCACUUCUAAGAGCUUAUUAAGGAAAAUGAUGAAAUUACCCCUAGUCCGUGUUAUCGCGUCUACUUCUAGCUACGAGUCUAUAAAAAUCAAGGCCUCACGAUUUAGACACUAGAGGACAUGUUGAGGGCUUGUGUCAUAGACUUUAGAGUUGUUUGGGAUCGACACUUGCCAUUGAUUGAGUUUGCCUACAAUAAUAGUUUUCAAGCUAGCAUUUAAAUAGCAUCCUACAAGGCAUUUAAAGUUACUUGGACUGAAGAUAGUUUAAGAAACCACCAACAAGAUAAAAUUGAUUAGAGAGAAUAUAUUGACUACACAAAGUCACCAAAAGUCGUAUGCCAACCAUAGACAUCGAGAAUUGGAGUUUGAGGUCGAUGACCAUGUGUUCAUGAAGGUCUCGCCAACCAAAGGCAUUAUGAGGUUCAGUAAUAAGGACAAGUUGAGCCAAAAUAUAUUAGACCAUUUAAGAUUUUGGAAAAGGUUAGUGUGGUAGUGUAUCAGUUACCACUUUUGUCGAAUCUUGUUAGCGUUUAUCUCGUAUUUCAUGCUUCAAUACUAUGAAAGUACCAACCAAAUCCAUCUCAAAUGAUUCAGCUUAAGUCCUUCAAUACUAUGGAAGUACCAACCAAAUCCAUCUCAAAUGAUUCAACAUGAGUCCUUAUAGCUAGGAGAUGACUUAAGCUACGAAGAGGCACCAGUAGCCAUUUUAGAUAGUCAAGUGAAGAAAUUAUGCUCUAAAAAGGUAACAUUAGUUAAGACACAAUGGCAAAAUCACUUAAGUGAGAAGGUGAAGUGGGAAACCAAGAACGACAUGUGGGCAAAGUACCCACACUUAUUUGAUGAAGGUUAGUGCGUUAUUUAAAUUUGAGGAUUUCCAUAAAAGGGGAAGAAUGUGGAUUCCCACCCUAAGUAAAAGAUAAGUUAAGAAAAACCUUAGGUGAGCAUGUGGAAUUUUUAUUUCGAAACACUAAAUCUAUUUUUUAACAUCAAAAAAUUUCAUGUUUUGAUGUUGUAUGAUGUUGACCAAAGUUGGAUGUUUAAAAAAGUCCAAUUGAAUAAGUUUUUAAAUGUAUUUCUACAUACUGGAGCAAAUGUAUCGAUACAUAACCCUCAUGUAUCGAUAGAUUUAAUCUUGAAGGCUUUUAAAAAUGAGAUUGGAAGAACAUGUAUCUAUACACAUAAAAAUGUAUCGAUAGAUUUUGAAUUUUAUGAACAUCUAUCUAUACAUAGCCAAAUGUAUUGAUAAAAGUUUUCUAAAAACCAAUGUACCGAUGCAUGGACUCAAUGUAUCAUUAAAUUUCAUCGUUUUCAGAAAAACAAGAAGGGGAAAAAUGUAUUUUUACACCUUAGCCUAUAAAUAUGUUACACUUUUCAAGGGUUGGCAGCCCUUAACUAUUUUUACAAGGCCAACUCCAACCCUAAAGCUCUUUCAACCUAUUUUUAGUCCAAAUCACCAUUUUUAUGAUUUAAGGGCUUGGUUUUAAGUUUUUAUGAAAAAGAUGACAUUUUUCAACCUUGACAUCUUUAAAUCUUGAUAUUCCAACAUUGAAAAUGUUGUUUGUGUGCCCAAAUUUUUCUACUGAUUGUUAAAGCUCAGGGUUUUAUGAUUUUCCUAAGCAUCUAAGCUCACUUAAAAUAAGGAUGAAGGAUUAAUGGAUUCCUAAGUAUUAUUUAGUUAAUGCAACAGUGGGUUUAAGCUAGAAAUUAGUUUUAGCUAAAAUCGAGUAAUUUCGAAAGUAUUGGAAAUGACUAGUACAAAAUUAUUAAACUUGAUAAUGAUUGUGAUGUUUGUUGAUUAAUUAGGAAUGGUUGGAAACUUCGAGGAAUCCACCAGAGUGGAGUCGUAAUCAGAGCUAAGCAUCGAAUCUCCAAUUAGAUGAGCGAAUACACCUCUUCAAGUACUUUAAUAUGUAAAAUGAGCAUGAUUUUUAUGGGAAUGAUUUGCUAUACAUGACGAAAUGUUGUUUUAAGGAAUGGUUAUCAAAGAAUUUGAGUUUUAAGGUUUUUAACUAUAAUUUGAAAGAUUGACUAAAGGAUUUAAUUUAAUGAUGAUAGAUUGUGUAUUGACACCAAUGGUUUUCCAAACAUUUAUGAAUCUAUUAUGUAUGUAAAUAUGCUACUGCGUAUUAGUUUUCAACAAGGGGGGACAAGUCCUUUCAAAUAUUUUCCUUCAAAAUAAGAUGAAUGGUAUGAUAUACAUGUUUGACAUAAAGUAGCAUGCAAGAUAUGAUGGGUGCAUGAGUUCCUUACUAUGAGGUUAUGAUAUGUAUGCCAUGAUGAUUGAUUGUGUAUUGACACCAAUGGUUUUUUAAUCGUUUGUGAAUCUACUAUAUGUAAAUACGUUAUUAUGUACUAGUUUUUAACAAAAGGGGACAAGCCCUUUCAAAUGUUUUCCUUCAAAAUGAGAUGAAUGGUAUGAUAUACAUGCUUGAUAUAAUGUAGCAUGUAAGGUAUAAUGGGUGCAUGAGUUUUUUUCUAUGAGGUUAUGACAUGUAUCUCAUGAGAUGUAUGAGUGGAGAAUAUCAUGUACACUAUGGGCUAAGCAUUAAAUGAAUUAUGAGAUUAUGACAUGAAUGCCAUAAGAUGUUUGUUUUGAUUAUGUUAUUUACACUAUGGGCUAAGCAUGGGAAUUAAUUAUGAGAUUAUGAAAUGUAUGCUAUGAGAUGUAUGUGUUGAAAAUUUUAUAUACAUUAUACACUAAGCACAAAAAUGGUUUAUGAAAACAUUUAUAUGUCUAUGAUGCAAGUUAUGGAUGAGUACGAUCCUAAACUUGAGAAAUCCUAUGAUGAUAGUGGGGAUUGAUCACUAUUAUAAUGCCCCAACCCAAGCAAAGGGACUACAACAUGAAAACUAAGUUUCCCAGUAAGUUAGGUAAAAGUGAUAUGUAUAUGAUUAAUGAAUAAAUUGUUCCAUGCAUCUAUGCUAUGAAUUUUCAUUGUAUCAAUGUGAAUGUGUAUGUGCAUAUGUUUAAGAAUACAUAAAGUAUCCAUGUACAACAAAAAAACGUAUGUGCAUAGAGCAUGAUUGAAAGAAAAUGUCCAAAGAUUUGAAAAGGCAUUGGUUAUACCUUAGCAUGUUGAAAUGUGUUUAAGAUUUAUAUGACACAUCCAUGCAUGUAAUGAUGAAUCUAAAUAUAUAUAUAUAUAUAUGAAUAUGUAUGAACACAAGUAAAUAUGUUGAUGAGCAUUGAUUUUUGAUUAUAUACUAAGGGGUAAGAUGAUUUCUUGUAUAGAAUAUAUGCAUUUAAGGUUAAUAUUGGAGUAGGUUUGUUGAGAUAUGUAUAUGAACACAUAUUGUAGAAGAAAUAAUGGAUGAAUAAACUAUGUAACAUAUUGAAUUUGUUAAAUGUUAUGUUGGAUUAAAAUUGGUUGGUGAGAUUGAAAUAAGUGUGAUAAUGGUGAGGUUUAAGGUUGAAUCUUGUAAGAAAAUGGGAUUGAAAGAAGACAAAAAAGAAUAGAAAUUGAAAAAGGGCAUAAAUGUGAACUUUCUUUGAGAAGAAUCGAUUCUUGAAGAGAAUAAGCUUGUCACGACCCAAAUUCCAAGCCAUGACCGGCUCAUGGGCCCAAUGGAUGUAGUCCACUAAGCCCAAGCAAGCCUAUUAAUCUGACAUGUUUAUCAUUCCAUCAUAAACUACUAAGUCAUAUAUCAUAACUUAGAAUCAAAAUAAUGUUAAGCAUUGCCACUUCAUAGCAGCAUACUAAACAGGUGUAUAUACACUGUCUACACAUGUAUCUUAAUAAUUCCCAUUAGGUUCGUCUAUACACAACAAAAGGAGACUCGAUGUCUAACAGAGAGACUCAGACGAAUGUACAGCUACUGAAUGCCGAGACACCUACCAAAAGAUGGAUACAAGUCCAUGAGGACACCUCGUCCUAGUUACCAGCUGUCUCUUAAUCUGAAAACAUGAAGUUGAAAGCGGUGAGUAUAAACUCAGUAAGUGAACAAGAAGGGAGCAAGCAUACCAUAAGGAAUGUUUAUCGAAAUCAUGAUGCACUCAUUUUCUCAAAACAAUGCAAUUUGUUCUAGUUCUUAGUAGAACCC